AGGGCUCCUCCCACCCUUUGUUUAUUAUACCUUUGUUGCUUUGGCGGGCCCGUCCUCGGACCACCGGCUUCGGCUGGUCAGUGCCCGCCAGAGGACCUAAAACUCUGUUUGUUCAUAUUGUCUGAGUACUAUAUAAUAGUUAAAACUUUCAACAACGGAUCUCUUGGUUCUGGCAUCGAUGAAGAACGCAGCGAAAUGCGAUAAGUAAUGUGAAUUGCAGAAUUCAGUGAAUCAUCGAAUCUUUGAACGCACAUUGCGCCCCCUGGUAUUCCGGGGGGCAUGCCUGUUCGAGCGUCAUUACAACCCUCAAGCUCUGCUUGGAAUUGGGCUCUGCCGGUCCCGGCAGGCCUUAAAAUCAGUGGCGGUGCCAUUCGGCUUCAAGCGUAGUAAUUCUUCUCGCUUUGGAGACCCGGGUGCGUGCUUGCCAGCAACCCCCAAUUUUUUCAGGUUGACCUCGGAUCAGGUAGGGAUACCCGCUGAACUUAAGCAUAUCAAUAAGCGGAGGA
RNAcentral lists this ribosomal RNA (506 nucleotides) under Pseudeurotium bakeri. Its description in RNAcentral is "eukaryotic LSU rRNA". The stretch from base 144 to 297 matches the Rfam family "5.8S ribosomal RNA". The record is from RNAcentral. Lineage: Eukaryota; Fungi; Ascomycota; Leotiomycetes; Thelebolales; Pseudeurotiaceae.